This is a long non-coding RNA of Triticum aestivum (bread wheat), 2881 nucleotides long. RefSeq lists it as uncharacterized. The transcript is spliced from 3 exons. NCBI's taxonomy places the organism in Eukaryota, Viridiplantae, Streptophyta, Magnoliopsida, Poales, Poaceae. The record is from RefSeq and is a predicted model, not a curated record.
UACCAAUCCAGCGAAUAGCUCUCCCCCCUCCCCUCCCCUCCCCCCACCCUCGACGCCCGGCUGCCGUGCCUCUGUCGGGUGGGGGGUAGAAACGGAAGGAGUGGGCCGGUGAGGAGAUCCAGAUGCGGCUAGCGAUGGCGCCGUCCGUCAGUCCGUGUCCCUCAGCCACCGUUGGCGACCUGGACACUUGGACAGGGAGAUGGAUGCACAGGAAGGCCAAGCAUACAGGUUUUGGCAGAGGCGGCCGCUUCGCCGCCGGCCAGCACGCGGGCCACACCACGGAGUCGCUCUCCUGGCACUACUAGAUCAGAGGCUCUGAUGCUAGCACUUUCACCAGAUGAGUCCGAGAAAUCGCACUGGAUGUUGCUAGCAGUAAUUUCUAGAUGUUGCUGCCAGAUCCGAGAGUAUUGUUUUCGCAGUAGCUGUUAACCAGGUAUAUUCCAUUUCUGUAAUCUUUCAUUGACUUUUUGUCGAUCUUGAUAUGCUGUUAAAGCUUGAAACAAGAGUGCUUCUGGCUACUAGUCUGUGACUUAUCACAUGAUCUGGGCUUCGCAUCUUUUCCGGGCAAAUCUCAGAUAUCCAAUAGAUUAUUUUUGUAAUAAUAGGGCAGGUCAGAAGAGUUCACUACAUAAGAAUAUAACUGACUGGACGGCAAGUAUUUUGUCGCCCACCUUCCCACGCCUCUUUUGAAACCUUCACAUAUUCUUCCGGUUGUAUGAAACAAAGACUAGAUCAUUCAGCCUUUUCCAUUGUAACCUAUUCCUUGUCUUUGUAUGAAUCUACAAAAUACAAGCAGCAAAGCUAAGGAGUAAAUAACUUGCUGAAAUUACCAUUGAACAAACACAAAUAGAGCUUUACUAGUUGACUUACAAAUUCAAACGUGCUCCAAUUCCUCUCACAACCAGAUGAUGAAGCACAAAGACUAACAAUGCACUUUGCAAACCUUUGUAGGUUUUAUGUUUUCAUACCCGCGUCUGUGCUCUUCGACAUUUAUUUCUUUAUGUCACCGUUUUAUUUUCUAAAAAUACUAGCCCAUUCUGACAGUUCAGACUUCCACCAUAGUCAAACCAUUAACUGGCAGGCCUACUACAAACUAACAGGUUAUAAAUUAUAAACAAAUCUUCCUCUGUAAUUUUUAAGUUAUAGCUUGUUAGACUUCUUCUCUCUCCUAGUUCAUAUUUAUUCAGAGUGGAAAGUAUAUAUCCUGAAACAUUAAGGUGGCUACCUGCAAACCAUUUUGUGUGAAAUUGUGGAUACAACAUGUUGAUUUGAUAUCCAAACAGUGAUUUAUAUGAUUGUUCUCAGCUAUUAGUUUGACCUUUAUAUCUCCUUAUUUUUAUUAAGCGUUUCUUGUAAUUGUAUGCAACUUGCAUUGGUUUUUUCUUACACACACACCCUACAUGUUCCUGGUUGCCCACUGGACACACAUCAUAUAUUAUCACGCUAUUUGGAGUGCUAUUGUUUGAACUUGGAAGUGCACGAAAUGUAUCACGUAUCUCAUUACUUUUUAAUAUUAUCUGUACAAAUCAGAGUCUCUGAUCACUGUCACCAAACGAGCCCCAGAAAUCGCACUGGAUGUUGCUAGCAAUAUCUUCUGGAUGUUGCCAGAUCAGAGUAUUGUUUUCGUAGUAGCUGUAAACAAGGUCAAGGCACAAGAGUUCACUACAUAAGAAUAUAACUGAUUGGACGACAUGUCUAACGUGGAUUACCAUGGGUGGGAAGGAAUUAACCAUGCACUAAUUGGUUACAACCACAGGCAGCCCUCCCUUUAGUAAUAAUACCAUUGUUUCCUAUUUCAUUUGGAACAUCAACGUCAUUGGAUCCACAGCUUGACCACUGGCUAGCUGUGCAUGAGUGAAGGUAUUGCUUGAUGAUAGAGGGACCGAGCCCCUGUAUAGAUACCUGAGCUCGUUGCAUCAACCUUGUUUGAGUUCUGGCCCCAACACAUUUACAAAAAUAAACUAUAAAUGGCCAGCAACUGCUGCCGCCUGUUGGGAGCUUAUGAAAGGAUUUUGACAUGGAUCACUCUUUCUUCCUUUCACAAGAAUGAUUUUAACCAUGCUGACUUUUCUGGUACUGAAGACUGAAGAGUUAACUUUGAUAGCUCUCGGUACAAUUGACACGGUUAAGUGUCAAGCUCGCGCUCCGUCACUUAGAGCUGCAUGGUGAGCCAUACUCCUUCCUUCAGUGUUGGAUGAUACACGACUAGCAACUCAGCCCUGUUCCAAGGCUCGUUCUGCCCCAGCAAUCCAGCAUUGGAAGCUUACUGAGAAGUCAUGGGUGCCUAGCCCAUCAAAUUCUUCACCUUGCUGGUGUGCCAAAACUGCUACUAGAGUGCUGCACUUGCUCGCAUGUAUGCUACCGGAAAUGAUGCACUCGUUCUUGUUCUCAAGGCAGACUUGGUUUUGUCCUGGAUACACCCGUCCUGAGUGACACCACAAUUGAUUGACAUAGAUGAAAUGGAGGGAGUAUUAGGUUGCAAUUGACCAUAAUUCUUUUUUCCGACAAGGAUUAGUGUCGAGCAAGGUUGCGUUUGUAGUUCAUUUAUAUAGUUACCUACCUCUUCCAUCCAUGCUAUUUGCUGUUCCCAUUUGGCCUGGAGGCUUGGGAUUUGUAUGUGCGCACGCGUGCACGCAUACAUACACCUGCUGUUCCCUCAUCUAUGUUGAAAAAUGUACUCAUUGUGCAUCCACUUGUUGCAUUGCUCACCUGCUCAGCCGGCAUACACAAAAUUUACAUGCUAGUAGCCAGAGGCUAGUAGCAUACACAACAUAUCUAAUAAAUUAUAUAUGGUUUUAGUAGGCCACUGUGUAUAAUACACAACAUUUCCAUGCCAGACACAAUUAUACGAGUUAGGUCACACGCAAGAAAAAGAAAAUGA